AGAAAGAUUCUGGUUGAUCCUGCCGGACCCCACUGCUAUCGGGAUAGGACUAAGACAUGCUAGUUGAGCGCUUCCAGCCAACACGGGAGCGCAGCGCACAGCUCAGUAACACGUGGCUAGUCUGCCCUUGGGACCGGAACACCCCCGGGAAACUGGGGCUAAUUCUCGAUAGGUGAAGAACUCUGGAAUGAGUCUCCGCUUAAAAGACGCUUACGUUAUGCUCGUAGGCGCCGCCCAAGGAUGAGGCCGCGACCGAUCAGGUUGUUGGUGAGGUAAUGGCUCACCAAGCCUUUUACCGGUGCGGGCCGUGAGAGCGGGAGCCCGGAGAUGGGCACUGAGACAAGGGCCCAGGCCCUACGGGGCGCAGCAGUCGCGAAAACUUUGCAAUACACGAAAGUGUGACAGGGCUAUCCCGAGUGCCAUCCGCUGAAGAAGGCUUUUACCCAGUCUAGAACGCUGGGGGAAUAAGGAGAGGGCAAGUCUGGUGUCAGCCGCCGCGGUAAUACCAGCUCUCCGAGUGGUGUGGAUGUUUAUUGGGCCUAAAGCAUCCGUAGCUGGCUAGGUUAGUCCCCUGUUAAAUCCACCGAAUUAAUCGUUGGAUUGCGGGGGAUACUGCUUGGCUAGGGGACGAGAGAGGCAGACGGUAUUUCCGGGGUAGGGGUGAAAUCCUAUAAUCCCGGGAGGACCACCAGUGGCGAAGGCUGUCUGCUAGAACGCGCCCGACGGUGAGGGAUGAAAGCUGGGGGAGCGAACCGGAUUAGAUACCCCGGCAGUCCAGGGUAUAAACGCUGCGGGCUUGGUGUCGGAGGUCCUACGUGGGCGUCCGGUGCCGGAGAGAAAUUGUUAAGCCUGCCGCUUGGGGAGUACGGUCGCAAGACUGAAACUUAAAGGAAUUGGCGGGGGAGCACCGCAACGGGAGGAGCGUGCGGU
This 930-nucleotide ribosomal RNA is filed under the name uncultured crenarchaeote. RNAcentral describes it as "bacterial SSU rRNA". It matches the Rfam family "Archaeal small subunit ribosomal RNA", at positions 1 to 901 of the family's 1478-position model. The record is from RNAcentral. Lineage: Archaea; Thermoproteati; Thermoproteota.